AGGGUGUACAGAUAGUCUGUACUAGAUGUGGAGACCUGAGGUAGGGUGAACAGGAACUCUGUCCUAGACGUGCCGCCAAGAGGUAGGGUAUACAGAUACUCUGUACUACAUGUGGAGAACUGAGGUAGGGUGUACAGGAACUCUGUCCUAGACGUGCCGCCAAGAGGUAGGGUAUACAGAUAUUCUGUACUAGAUGUGAAGACCUGAGGUAGGGUGAACAGGAACUCUGUCCUAGACGUGCCGCCAAGAGGUAGGGUAUACAGAUAUUCUGUACUAGAUGUGAAGACCUGAGGUAGGGUGAACAGGAACUCUGUCCUAGACGUGCCGCCAAGAGAGGUAGGGUAUACAGAUAUUCUGUACUAGAUGUAGAGACCUGAGGUAGGGUGAACAAGAACUCUGCCCUAGACGUGCCGCCAAGAGGUAGGGUAUACAGAUAUUCUGUAUUAGAUGUGGAGACCUGAGGUAGGGUGAACAAGAGCUCUGUCCUAGACGUGCCGCCAAGAGGUAGGGUGUACAGAUAUUCUGUACUAGAUGUAGAGACCUGAGGUAGGGUGAACAGGAACUCUGUCCUAGACGUGCCGCCAAGAGAGCUAGGGUAUACAGAUAUUCUGUACUAGAUGUGGAGACCUGAGGUAGGGUGAACAGGAACUCUGUCCUAGACGUGCCGCCAAGAGGUAGGGUAUACAGAUAUUCUGUACCAGUACUGGAGACCUGAGGUAGGGUGUACAGGAACUCUGUCCUAGACGUGCCGCCAAGAGGUAGGAUAUACAGAUAUUCUGUACUAGAUGUGGAGACCUGAGGUAGGGUGUACAGGAACUCUGUCCUAGACGUGCCGCCAAGAGGUAGGGUAUACAGAUAUUCUGUACUAGAUGUGAAGACCUGAGGUAGGGUGAACAGGAACUCUGUCCUAGACGUGCCGCCAAGAGGUAGGAUAUACAGAUAUUCUGUACUAGAUGUGGAGACCUGAGGUAGGGUGAACAGGAACUCUGUCCUAGACGUGCCGCCAAGAGGUAGGAUAUACAGAUAUUCUGUACUAGAUGUGGAGACCUGAGGUAGGGUGAACAGGAACUCUGUCCUAGACGUGCCGCCAAGAGGUAGGGUAUACAGAUAUUCUGUACUAGAUGUGAAGACUGGAGGUAGGGUAUACAGAGUACGGGACCAA
Haliotis rubra (blacklip abalone) is the source of this 1162-nucleotide long non-coding RNA. RefSeq lists it as uncharacterized. The transcript is spliced from 4 exons. Lineage: Eukaryota; Metazoa; Mollusca; Gastropoda; Lepetellida; Haliotidae. The record is from RefSeq and is a predicted model, not a curated record.